Molecule: long non-coding RNA, 1606 nt
Filed under: Amazona collaria (yellow-billed parrot)
Lineage: Eukaryota; Metazoa; Chordata; Aves; Psittaciformes; Psittacidae
Description: lncRNA (ENSACOG00000007918.1)
Source: RNAcentral
CCUACUCACAUUUUCCCAUAUGGUGACUUUGGAAAAUUCCUCUCCGAUUUCGUUGGGAAGUGCAGGAAACUCUCGUUGGUAGAGGGUUGCCUGUUACUCUCUCUUAAUUCUGCUGCUCACAUCUGGAAAGGAUCUGGCUUGGAAAGGGGAGACUCGCUCUGAGCUCAGCGCAUGUAACUGACAUGGCAUGAGCCGCGGGAGCCUGUGGGGGCAAGAGAAAUGUUCUUCUCCAUUCAUCUGAUUUCUGACAGCAAAGGUGAGUUUUUCAGCACUUUAUUUGUUCUUUCACAAGCUGUAUUGUCAGACAACACCCAGCAGCCUGCCUUUCAGCUGCAGCUUUUAGAAAGGAUAUUCAGUGUAAGUUACAAACUCACUUAACCUGUUGAUUUUGGAGGAGAGGAUGUUUUCGCAUCUCUGUGUGUGUCCUGACAGAAUAUGCUUAGAGAAUAGUACCGAGGUGAGAUACUUUGGACAUGAUUUUGUUGUUUAUUGAGGUAACUGUGAUCACUGAAAGUAUACAGUAACUCCUGAAACUUCAGCUUACUUCUUGAGACAGUGCCUUUUGUAGCGCUCUGCUUCUGGUGCUGUGUGGCAGCGAAGUGCAGGAACAAGUAGUGGUUCUGUCUAGACUCUGAAAGAUGCAACCUCGGAGCUGGUUUCAGUGCAGCUUCUGUCCUUGGGUGGAAGGACCUGAUCCAAACCUCACUGGCAGCAAGGGAAGAGGGCUGAUUGUUUCAUUCAGUGUCUCCCUGUGGCACCAGAGCAGCAUGCACUUCAAAGGCAUUGUAGCAGAAGCAUGCAUAUUGAUGACAACGGGGUGAGAUUGCCUCAGAAAUCUUACUGUGCCAUAGAUACAGUAUUUCAUGGUAAUUUUUUAACAUCUCUUCACCUCUGUAUUUGGAAAAGUCAGAUUGUUGAAAAUCUCUGGAGCCGAAUACCAACCAUGAUGUAACUGUGCUGUAGGAACAGUGUUGGUAUUGUUUGUGGGAGGGCUGGUUGUGACCUGCAUAUAAAAAGAGCUUUUUUCUUUAGUUUCUUUUGUAAGUAUCUAUAAGGGUAAGCUGAUAUGUAUAAAAAAUACUUCCUUAGAAAUGUGAUAGAUCAUAGUUUCUGAGAUUAUUUCCUCUAAAAUUUCUGAGAUUAGGUCACCAAAUAGUGAGGAUUUUACUAAUCCACUGUUGGCAUACUCACAUGGCUAAUUUUGAUCUCACUAUUAAUAUCUAGCUGCCAUAUAUGGAACACCAUGUGAUCCCUGUAAUGUUUUAUAAAGGAGAUUAAUUUCACUAUAUUCAGCUUUUACAGAUACAGAAGCUGUGGAAUAGUGGAGAAGGGAGAGGAGGGAUCAAGUAAGCAGUGUUAAAUGCUUAAAAGCACCCAGCAUGCUGGUAGCAAAGAUCAGGGCCAAAGCAAAACCAUCCAUGAAUCAGGAUGCUCUGUCCUGUAGUGCCACCUUCUCCCCUUUCUUCAAGUAUAGAGCAGUGUUUAAAGAAGUUAUUUAAGAUGUUCAUGACUGUGACUGAGAGCAAGGGCUCUCCUAUGCUUCCCAAGCACCCACAGUCUUUGCACAGCUGCAGCUGGUGCGAAGCAGCAAAGCCCUGUGGAUGUG